AAAACCCAUAAGUUAACAUAACUGCGUGUAGAGAAUAUCACCAUUAUGUUAUUAAUAUUGUUAGGAGUAACGAAAAAUAGUUAAACUAAAUUAGAAUAGUUUUUACAGUUUAAUAUUUGAUGUCUCCAUAUUCAUUUUGAAAAAUGAUUUCAUUGUUCUAUCAUGAAAUUGGUCAUAUUAUUCGUUGAUGUGGAAAUAAUUGAUUGUUUAAUAAUAUUGGAAUACUUAUUAAAUUAAGUCAUAUAUUAUGCUAAAGUGGCCCAGCAUUCACUGGCCAUAUGCAAAACUCUAAUUGAAGAUUUGAAAUCGGUAUAAAAACGAGUUUAAAAAAGUAUAUUUUGGUCUCUGAUGAAAAUUUCUUGUAGACCAGUAAAUUUAUUUAUGAAUGACAAUUUCAUUUUUUAAGUAUUGUAUCAAAACCUUCAAUUUUAUAUACGUUUGCCAUAAAAGUAAUAACUAUUUUAUAAUUUUAUUACACAUAAUUUUAUUUUAUUACAUUUGUGCUAUAAGGAUUGAAUAUAUGGUUUAUUAUCGUUGGGGGGAGUUUAUGAUUUUUUAACCAAUGAUAUCUGAUGUUGAUAAUAUCAUAUCAACUCCCUCUCUCGAUAAAAAUCAUAUUUAAGUAAUUUUCAGUAAUAUUAUUUUAGUUUAAACGCAGUUUUUGUGCGUGUCGUGUAAAAGUCAAGUUUUUCAACAAAUAAGUUUCAAAAAUUUUUAUCUAAUUGUUUUUUUGAAAUCAAAAG
Molecule: long non-coding RNA, 743 nt
Organism: Daktulosphaira vitifoliae (grape phylloxera)
Lineage: Eukaryota; Metazoa; Arthropoda; Insecta; Hemiptera; Phylloxeridae
Exons: 3
Source: RefSeq, a predicted model, not a curated record